CCGAGUUUACAACUCCCAAACCCAAUGUGAACAUACCAACUUGUUGCCUCGGCGGGAUCACGCCCGGGCGUCGCAGCCCGGUAAACAGGACGCCCGCCAGGAGGACCACCUAAACUCUCUGUAGUCCCUCGGAGUAUUCUUACAGCUCUGAGUAAAACUCAUAAAUGAAUCA
Molecule: unclassified non-coding RNA, 172 nt
Filed under: soil metagenome
Description: partial internal transcribed spacer 1
Source: RNAcentral